This is a non-coding RNA of Anas platyrhynchos (mallard), 944 nucleotides long. The record is from RefSeq and is a predicted model, not a curated record. NCBI's taxonomy places the organism in Eukaryota, Metazoa, Chordata, Aves, Anseriformes, Anatidae.
GGAAACAUCCCUCUCUGUGCUGUUGGCACCCUGAUGGCUGCAUUGGUGGUUGACUUCUCCUCUUGGCAGCUGGCGCAGCUGCAGGUGCAGAGCAGCAGCAGGGCAUCAGUGCUGGAGGGUCCAGCCGCUGCCCAAACGGGACUGCCCUCCUCUGCAGGCCUGUCUUAGUUCCUUUGCUCCUUGCUUCUUUUCCCUCAGGUGUACCUCCAGCUGCUGUCCUGAAUUAUGCCUGGCUGUUCUUGCACACCAGCAUUCCUAGGGACACCAUGCAGCGCUGCAUUCAGGAGACGCUGCUCUUUCUGUCCUACACCCGUGCAAAGAAACAGGGUGUGGACUUCAUCUUCAAGGACAUUGGCCGUCUGGUCUUCUGCAAGAGCAGAGUCCAAAGACAAUUUUCCACAGACUUUGUUCACAGCCUAAGUAACAACGUCCAGCUGCUGAAAUCUCAGAUGAAUGACCAAGUGACAGGACCAAGAGAAGAGCUGUGGGCAUCCCUGGGAAGAUGGCAGAGGAUCUUCUGAUCUCCUGUGUUUUGGAAGGAGGCUGUGCUCCGGGCUCUUGGGACAGGCAGAGGUGGCGAUCUUCAGAGCCCACCCGAGAGGUUUCUUCUCCGUUGCUGCAGCUGCCUUUAGUGCGGAGUGUGCGGGCAUCCAUGACCUCACACAAGCCCCGGCACACCAGCCACGGCCCGCCCACAUCAGGAGACAGGCGCUUCGGGCUCUGCGCAGUGCUUUGUGCUGCAGCUUCAUCGCAGAAGAGUGGGAGUAGCAGCGCCCAGCUGCCAGCACCAGGAGGGCGCUCGGAGCUGUACACUGGCAUCACUGAUAGGAACAGGACAGUGCCCCAGGAAUUCAGAUGCCCCACCACACCCUGCCCCCAGCCUCAGCUCAGCUGCGGCUGAGAAUUCUGCUGUGAAUAAAAGCUCAGGCAGAGUUUUGCCCCCA